This 468-nucleotide ribosomal RNA is filed under the name uncultured bacterium. RNAcentral's name for it is "partial 16S ribosomal RNA". It matches the Rfam family "Bacterial small subunit ribosomal RNA", at positions 28 to 507 of the family's 1533-position model. The record is from RNAcentral.
GACGAACGCUGGCGGCGUGCUUAACACAUGCAAGUCGAACGGAAAGGCCCUGCUUUUGUGGGGUGCUCGAGUGGCGAACGGGUGAGUAACACGUGAGUAACCUGCCCUUGACUUUGGGAUAACUUCAGGAAACUGGGGCUAAUACCGGAUAGGAGCUCCUGCUGCAUGGUGGGGGAUGGAAAGUUUCGGCGGUUGGGGAUGGAAUCGCGGCUUAUCAGCUUGUUGGUGGGGUAGUGGCUUACCAAGGCUUUGACGGGUAGCCGGCCUGAGAGGGUGACCGGCCACAUUGGGACUGAGAUACGGCCCAGACUCCUACGGGAGGCAGCAGUGGGGAAUAUUGCACAAUGGGCGGAAGCCUGAUGCAGCAACGCCGCGUGCGGGAUGACGGCCUUCGGGUUGUAAACCGCUUUCGCCUGUGACGAAGCGUGAGUGACGGUAAUGGGUAAAGAAGCACCGGCUAACUACGUG